UACAGAGGGUGCAAGCGUUAAUCGGAAUUACUGGGCGUAAAGCGUGCGUAGACGGUUACAUAAGUCGGGUGUGAAAGCCCCGGGCUCAACCUGGGAAUUGCAUUCGAGACUGAAUAGCUAGGGUACGGUAGAGGGAAGUGGAAUUUCCGGUGUAGCGGUGAAAUGCGUAGAUAUCGGAAGGAACAUCAGUGGCGAAAGCGACUUCCUGGACCAGUACCGACGUUCAGGCACGAAAGCGUGGGGAGCAAACAGG
Molecule: ribosomal RNA, 253 nt
Filed under: uncultured bacterium
Lineage: Bacteria
Description: partial 16S ribosomal RNA
Rfam family: Bacterial small subunit ribosomal RNA
Source: RNAcentral